RNAcentral lists this unclassified non-coding RNA (259 nucleotides) under plant metagenome. Its description in RNAcentral is "partial contains small subunit ribosomal RNA, internal transcribed spacer 1, and 5.8S ribosomal RNA". The record is from RNAcentral.
CCGUUGGUGAACCAGCGGAGGGAUCAUUACCGAGUUUACAACUCCCAAACCCAAUGUGAACGUUACCAAACUGUUGCCUCGGCGGGAUCUCUGCCCCGGGUGCGUCGCAGCCCCGGACCAAGGCGCCCGCCGGAGGACCAACCAAAACUCUUAUUGUAUACCCCCUCGCGGGUUUUUUUACAAUCUGAGCCUUCUCGGCGCCUCUCGUAGGCGUUUCGAAAAUGAAUCAAAACUUUCAACAACGGAUCUCUUGGUUCUG